CCUCCUUCCUCCUUCCUCCUUCCUCCAGGCCAGAAUGCACGCGAGAGACCGGCUGCAGGGCGGAAUCACGCUUUGUCUCAUCGCCGGCUUCUGCGGUGUGACACUGGUACCGAGAGACAGAGAGCCAGGCGACGGACCUCUUGGCGGUCGGGAAGAAUCACCUCGUCCGGGGGAACCGAAUGCACCGUUGUUGUUGUUGUUGUUGCCGGGGGCCCGUCAGCACGUUUACCUGCGCGGGAGGUUUGCCGGUCGAAGCAGCUCGGCUGCAGCGGCGAUUGAUGUGGAGGAGGCCUGAAGCGGAGGAAGAGGUGAGCGGCGCCGGCCCGGCCCGAUCAAGUGGGCCCCUUGCGUGGGAGGCUUCCCUCU
This is a long non-coding RNA of Gasterosteus aculeatus aculeatus (three-spined stickleback), 366 nucleotides long. NCBI's taxonomy places the organism in Eukaryota, Metazoa, Chordata, Actinopteri, Perciformes, Gasterosteidae. The record is from Ensembl.